UUGAACGCUGGCGGCAUGCCUUACACAUGCAAGUCGAACGGUAACGGGCCUUCGGGUGCCGACGAGUGGCGAACGGGUGAGUAAUACAUCGGAACGUGCCCGAUCGUGGGGGAUAACGAGGCGAAAGCUUUGCUAAUACCGCAUACGAUCUACGGAUGAAAGCAGGGGACCGCAAGGCCUUGCGCGGACGGAGCGGCCGAUGGCAGAUUAGGUAGUUGGUGGGAUAAAAGCUUACCAAGCCGACGAUCUGUAGCUGGUCUGAGAGGAUGAUCAGCCACACUGGGACUGAGACACGGCCCAGACUCCUACGGGAGGCAGCAGUGGGGAAUUUUGGACAAUGGGCGCAAGCCUGGUCCAGCCAUGCCGCGUGCAGGAUGAAGGCCUUCGGGUUGUAAACUGCUUUUGUACGGAACGAAAAGCCUUCUUUUAAUACAGGAGGGUCAUGACGGUACCGUAAGAAUAAGCACCGGCUAACUACGUG
RNAcentral lists this ribosomal RNA (481 nucleotides) under uncultured bacterium. RNAcentral describes it as "partial 16S ribosomal RNA". It matches the Rfam family "Bacterial small subunit ribosomal RNA", at positions 30 to 507 of the family's 1533-position model. The record is from RNAcentral.